UUGAAGUCAGAAGUCAUUGGGCGGAAGUGGAGAAACAACACUUGCUAAAAGAAAUUCCUUUUAGCAACUCAAUAUUAGGCUUUGGAGUUUUUUUAGCCAGAGUUGUUUUCCCUCUUCUCAACUCUGUAGAUCUGCAGAACUUUAUUUCUCUAUUUAUGCCUUUUUCACUUUUUUUGUUGAGUAAAAGUUAUUUUUUCGGGAUCUGUUCAGAUAUUUUCCUUAUUCCGUUUGGGGAUCACUGAGAAGUUCAUUUCAUCUAAUAUAGGUUGAUUCCUACGGCGAAAUUGAAUUAGUGUUUCCAAUUUCUCGUCUCCUCAAUUUUUUUUUGUUUCAGUUUAGGUUGCUUGAGCUUGCUAACUGUAUUCUUCAUUUUUUUUUGUGAGCGCGUACUGGUCAGGAUGAUGAAGAAGACUAUAAACAACCAAGCCAUGGAACUGAGCUACCUGCUUGAAAAAAUUGAUACAGUAAGUGCUAUUCUACAUUCAGAUUUAUUCUUAUUGAUUUGACUAUUGAGCUUGCUGCUUUGUUUUUUCACACUAUGAAGUUACUCUCCCGUUUACUAACGACAUUAGCUGUUCCUGCUCAGCCAUACCACCUAGUAGUAAAAGAAGACUUGUAGAAUAAACAUUUACAGAGAACAUAACUGAUACAAGGCAUCACUGUUCUGUUUUAAUAUUUGGACCUUCCACUGGUUAAGAAGACUGGGCGUUUUCAUUAACAAGUAGACAACAAUUAGUAUAGUGAUUGUUGUUGACUUGUUGACGCUUUCCCCUUUCUGUGAUAAUCUAUUGCUUUGAAUUCUCAAUUAUCCCCAACCAUAAAGUGAAGGGAAGGCCAAAGUGGUUAAGAUGAUCCUAAUUCCUAAGAACCAAAAGUCAUGCAAUUGACUUGAAAUAAAAUUUUCUAUUAAUUUUGUUUUACAAGAGGAUGCAACGUAUUGAUUCACACAAACUUAGGAUGUAUUUAAUUGGAUAUUCAUGAAUGAGCAUGGCUAAAGAGUAAGGUUCUGAAGUACCAAACAAUCUCCCCUUUGUCAUUCUUUGAGAAGUAUAAUUAUAACCACUUGCACUUAGACAUCUAUAUUAAUAAAACAUUCUUUAGCAUCCUUAAACCAACUAGCUGACAUGUACAUAAGAUGAAGGAUGGUAUUAUGUUUAUUUGUGGACCACUAUAAAAGAAGAAACAUACAAACUCCUUAAAGAUUGUACCCAGUUUUGAAAUAUACAAGCAGUGGAUCUACUUGAUGAACACUGAUUCAUUAAGUAUUUCCCUUUUGGUCAUGCACUAAGGAAUGAAUCACAAGAACAACACAUCCAUUUAACACAAACGAGGGGCUCUUAUUCUCUGGACGAUAUAAAUUAAAGGACACAGGGAGUUGCCUUGGGUAUAGCAAACCAACCCUCCCAAGAAGGUAACUAUGUCUAAUUAGAACAUUACUGACCAAAUGACAAUGUCGACUUAGGAUAGAAGGUGCCUCCCUUUAACACAAAAUAAUAUACUAUUAACAAAUAUGAGUUUCUAACUGAGUAGAGGUAAGCUUAUAUUUUAUAUCACCAAAUUGUGAACUCAUGAAAAGCUUAAAAUAUGCAUAUUCCGGAGUCAAACAAACAAAUGAUGUCCCACUUAUGAACAAGAUCAAGAUGAAUGCCCUAUUAUUAUUUUAUUUUUGGUGUAAAGAGGAAUUUACCGUCAAUACUGAAUCUAUCCUAGAGAUUUUAGAAUCCUUGUAAGUUGUAUAGGAUAUAUGACUAAAUGGAAAGUUAGCUCAAAAGAACGACUUUAAAUGUUGGCAUGAGUUUAGCAAGAAUAGAAAUUAACAGUCAUGAGAUAGAAUUCUGAUAGAAACUUUCGAAUUGAAUUUAACACGAAACUUACAUAUUACUGAAAUUACAUUAAAAAGGGAAAACAUUAUGUGAGCUGAUUGCUUCCCUGUUCUUAUUUACUGUAUUUUAGUGUCCAGGUUCAAAAGGAAAAUUCUGCCCCUGUUGCGGUCAAGGAAAAUUAUUGGGCGUGAAAGAUAAGAUGUGUAUUACACUAUUACAAACUUGUAAGUCACCACUGAUUCAAGAUAUGAUCAUGACAAAGCAGCCUAUAAUUUUUAAGGCUUUGAUUCAGCGGCAGAAGUCAUGGUUAACGGGCGAAAACCAUGAUCAAGACUAGCUUUCCACACUCUUUCAAUAUCAAACAUCAUAUUACCACACUCAUUCUCAUUCCAGCCUUCCAAUGCGUGCAAAAUCCCUGCUAUUCUUGAUGCACUCAUCACCCUUCUUGGUAGCCAGUUCUGGGGUUAUAAUAUUAGUCAUAAGUUUACUUUAAUUAUCCGAAAAGAUCAAACAAAAAAUUUAGGAAUUUAAAAUUAUCUUCUCUAACCUCACAAGAGUCUACAUUUUCAAGUUGUUUUGGGAUAGUCAUGGCUGGUGUGCUGAAGUAGAUGCAAUCCUUGCGAGCUUUCCUUGGUGGAAACUGUGAAAAAGGAAUAAACAAUGUUCCUUUUGGUGCUUUCAAUUGUUCAUCUUCACUCAAUCUGUCCCCUACUAGCCAUAUCUGCAAUACAAUACUUCAAUCAAGAACUAUUUUCUGCGAGACCGUGGGGUGAGGGAGAGGGAGAGGGAGAGGGAGAGGGAAGAGUUCUCUUUUUUUGUUUGAAUUUUUUGAAAUCUAAAAUGGUUCAGAGGUCAAUUAUGAAUUAGUCUGGAUUAGGAGAGAAGGGGGAGGGGAAUGGAGUUGUUAUAAAUUAUCAAGAUUCAGGAAAGUAUUAUCUGAUGUAUUAUGGUUUAUACCUUUGACGCAUUAGUCUUUGAAAGGACCAAAUUGGUAGCAACCUUGGGGGUAAGCCUUGCUUUAAGUCUCUUGAACUCUUCUCCGUCUAACAUGACAACCUAUAUGUUAAAAAAAUUCAAUGAAUGAAAGUCUGGGAAACCAAAAUCAUGGAGGAGAUUAAGUGCAAGAUACCUGAAUUCCUCUUUGGCACAAGACAAGGGCAAUGGAGCAAGAAACUUUGGACAAACGACCUCUAAGGACCACUUGGGAAGUUCCUUUAGGAAUGUUGUUUAGGACCACAGCAACAACUAGACUACUUCCAUCAACCACUUUCACUUUCAACUGCGGAUGCCUCCUUAUGUAAAGUUCACCGUUAUUAUUCAGCUCCUCUUCCUGUUAGAACGUUACAUUGUGUGACAUUGUAAGUAUCAACUGGAACCCUCUUUCGUCCAGCCAACAAACAUUGGAUAUAAGGUGUUGGGAGAAUUUUUUUUAAAUUCAUUUUCUCCCUAAUAGUGAAUAUCUGCCAUAGCUAACAGAAUGUUUUUCUCAGAAAAUUGCAUUUUAGGUAGAGAUCAUGCAUUUUUCUUAUAUAUAAAGUAAGGAUGAGAAUUAUUCGAUUUUCUAUUGUCUUUACUUACCUGAUUUAGGAGUCCAAGGCUCAAAACUUUUAUGCCUUUCAGAUCAGCUUCCAUGAUGGCUUCCUCAAUCAAAUUGUUAAUAGUAUCUCUUUGCCCUUGCAUAAAGUACUGAACAAAAUAAAAAAUUAGGUCAACUAGUCUUUAAUAAUGUAUCCAGAACAUACAAGUCAUGAUUAACAAUAAUUUCUUACUUGUUUCCUGUAUUUUGGGAUAGCCCAAGUUUGUAAUUUAAGAUUCCUGAAUAAAUUUCUCUCAACAACAAAUGUUUGACCAUAAAUCCAAGUAAUAAAAAACGACCAUAGGGUAACGGGCCACAUUAACCAAAAAUACCACUUGGAAGCGUGAGGCGUCGAGGCCAAGGAUGCAAACCCUAGUCGGAGAUGGUAGAUAGAUUCAGGGGUUGUUAGAUGUGUUAGGUGCACCACAUCAGGCAAUUCAGCUUUCCUCUCAAGUGACUUUUCAUACAAUGUAUCUGACGACUUGUCCACUGUACCAUACAGAUAGUCAUACAUUGGCAUGAAAAGUGAAUAAUUUGUUCUAAAUUGAGUGUGAUGUAGCGAGUGAUACCUGUGCCAUCAAAGAAUUGACAUUAGUUGUAAUAAAUAAAACAAAAUCAUCAGGGAUUACUAGUCUGCCUAGUCAGUAUGAAAAAAAUACAUUUGAAGGAAGACUUCUAUUUCCAUUUUCCCUUUUAUUUCCUGGUGAACUAAACUUGGAUACAAAAUUUCUGUUCACUGAGGCGUCUAACUUUGUACAGAAGUACCAAAAUUGCAUCUUUUUUGUCACUUCUAAUUAAACUGCUCUGCUACCUUCUAGAUAUGCAUGAAUAAAUACGUCUCGGGGUCCCUGAAUGUGAAGAAACAUUAAUGUUCUGGAAGUAAAAAAAUGAAAAAGUUAUUUGUGUAGAUUAUCUUUGUCGAUCCAGUUUCCAAAGAGAUCCAAAAGUGGGGGAUUGUGCAUUUGAGCCUUUUACUUUGCACUUUUCCUUCAAAUUAGUGUUUCCUGAUCAGUCAUCUCCAAACCAAACUUCCAAAACAACUUCCCUCUUCCUUUCUGUUUCUUUUUUUUUCUCCAUGGAUAUAAUAAUAUUUUGUGGCCAACGAACUUUAUCCACUGUAAAAGUAAGUCACCUUAUUUGGUAGGUUUUGUCAUUGGGUAAAGUUUAGUGACUUUACUAUUGUAGCGAGUAAAUUUCAACUACUUUAAUGUAACAAAAAAGUUAUGUGACUUUACUGUUAUAGUCGGUAAAGUUUAGUUACUUUACUGUUCUACCGGGUACAGUUAAGUUGCUUUAGCGCGACAAAACAAUUUCUAACUUUACCAUUAUAAUGAAUAAAGUACGUGAAAUUUAACCCUUAAAAGUUUCUAGUAAAUUUCUUUUACUUGUAACUGUUUCGAAUUAUAUUUGUUCACCCAAAUAAAUUCCGAUGAUAUUUCAAAUCCCUGUUAAAGAUAGCCAUUGCAAAUGAAAGUUGAACAUGAAAAGACACAGCAGGGUGAAAAAACACAUGGUGGGUGAAGUCUUGUCAAGGCAAAGACAAACAAACGUCUAAAGCAUAGUUGAUGCUAUAACUAUAAAAGUUUAAAUAUAGGGAAAACAGACUCACGAGGGCGUAUAUAUCAAGUACUUGAGAGGGGGAAACAUAGAGAACAUCCACUUAGGAAUGAGCUCAAAGUUGCAAUGCCCCAUGUUGUUCAUGAAAUCAACGUAAGUGAUGUACGCACCAAAUGCAGCUAUAGAAGCAGUUCCAGUGAAAAAAGUUGUGACCCCCGGUAUAAGAAAGAGCGUGUAAUAUGCUAUGAUCUCAGCAAACGGAUGAAUAACAGCUGCAACAAUAAAAAACUUUGCUUUGUAAUUAUUUGCAGAUAGGUCAUUGAUUGUCUUUGAAAUUAAACUGAAACCAAGUGACCUAUAAGCCAGCAGGCAGGUCUUUAAUAUGCAGAAAGCCAAUCUACAAAGUACUUAUAUUCUCAUCCAUCCCAUUUAAAUCAUAUAUAUGAGUGACAGCCAUUCUACAAGAUCUUUUUAACAUUAUCUACUGACUACUGUCGAUAUUAUUUUCUAGGUUACUAUGUCAGGCUUAAUAUAAGCUCCUUGUAAUAUCUGAUGUAUUUUCUCCAAGACUGAUUGUUCUUCCUCUAGAAAACUACAUCAAAUUAAACAUAUGAUACAAAACGUUUACGAAGACGACUUACAAGUGAUGGGCUCAGUAACAAUGGAGGAGUGAUGAUGGGAAUGAUAACGAG
This 5648-nucleotide long non-coding RNA is filed under the name Nicotiana tabacum (common tobacco). RNAcentral's name for it is "long non-coding RNA (NTAB_LNC009946)". The stretch from base 19 to 121 matches the Rfam family "MIR6024 microRNA precursor family". The record is from RNAcentral. Lineage: Eukaryota; Viridiplantae; Streptophyta; Magnoliopsida; Solanales; Solanaceae.